GUAUGAAUGGCAUGAAUGGCAUGAAUGGCAUGAAUGGAAUGAAUGGGAUGAAUGGGAUGAAUGGCAUGAAUGGGAUGAAUGGCAUGAAUGGCAUGCAUGGGAUGAAUGGCAUGCAUGGACCCCCCAUCAUGAGCAGAGAAGAAUUUGAGGCUCGGAAAGCUGAUUUGAGAAGGAAGCGUGAAAAUGAAAGACGGGGUCAAGGGUAAGAUUGAAAUCAUUAUUUCUUGUUGGAUUUGUGAUGCAUACAUUAUAACUUACACGUAUAUUAGAUAGAUGGCCAUACUAUGUGAGUUGGUCUACCAAAGUGUUUCGCCUCCUUUGUAGUCAUUGUAACUUUUGGACACUAUACGUGA
RNAcentral lists this long non-coding RNA (353 nucleotides) under Malus domestica (apple). RNAcentral's name for it is "long non-coding RNA (MDOM_LNC003639)". The record is from RNAcentral. Lineage: Eukaryota; Viridiplantae; Streptophyta; Magnoliopsida; Rosales; Rosaceae.